Long non-coding RNA from Helianthus annuus (common sunflower), 502 nucleotides. RefSeq lists it as uncharacterized. NCBI's taxonomy places the organism in Eukaryota, Viridiplantae, Streptophyta, Magnoliopsida, Asterales, Asteraceae. The record is from RefSeq and is a predicted model, not a curated record. The transcript has 5 exons.
CACAGAUCGACUGCAGCCGCAGAUAAGAUGGCCACUGCUUUAUCUUCUGGUAUUGACGAAAUCAGGCCUCCUGAUAUCACAAAAUCAUCAGAUGUUGAAGAACGAUAGUUGCCUGUUCAGAGGAUUUCGGUAUCAUCAUCCAGGGUGUUGAAGAGCAAUCUCGUUUCAGUUUUUGAAAGAGAUACUAUAGCUAUCAUCCUGGUGCAUCGGACGCUGAAGGUGAUGCAGGGCAUCUGUGAAACUGCACGUGGCCCGUACAAGCUAAACCAUUAAUACAAAGAAUAGGAGAAAGCUUCAAGUGGUCCAUACAAGCUAAACCAUGAUCUGGAUCAAAAGUACAGUGAGUCUCCUACAAUUGUGCAGUUCUGGGACGAGUCACACAAGAACAAAAACACAGAUGAGUGGGCAUCUGAGAGGGCUUGGUUGAUUGGGAUGCGAGAGAUAUUAGCAACAAAACAAGCCACGGGGGAAGCAUCUCAUGAUUGGGAAUUUGGAAUUCAGC